UACGGAGGGGGCUAGCGUUGUUCGGAAUUACUGGGCGUAAAGCGCACGUAGGCGGCUUUGUAAGUUAGAGGUGAAAGCCCAGGGCUUAACCCUGGAAUUGCCUUUAAGACUGCAUCGCUAGAAUCGUGGAGAGGUAAGUGGAAUUCCGAGUGUAGAGGUGAAAUUCGUAGAUAUUCGCAAGAACACCAGUGGCGAAGGCGGCUCACUGGCCCGGUACUGACGCUGAGGUGCGAAAGCGUGGGGAGCAAACAGG
Molecule: ribosomal RNA, 253 nt
Filed under: uncultured bacterium
Lineage: Bacteria
Description: partial 16S ribosomal RNA
Rfam family: Bacterial small subunit ribosomal RNA
Source: RNAcentral